Molecule: ribosomal RNA, 305 nt
Filed under: Coccura suwakoensis
Lineage: Eukaryota; Metazoa; Arthropoda; Insecta; Hemiptera; Pseudococcidae
Description: partial large subunit ribosomal RNA
Source: RNAcentral
UUCGGGGGUAAACGGACAGAGCCCGUGAAUCCGGGCGGCAGAAUUCAGAAUUGAUGACGAUUUCGGUUGUUGUUAGCUCGAUAUUUCUGUCGCCGCGGACGUUGCGACCCGUUCGGUGUCCGUCUUACGAAGCGCAUAAACGUUCGUUGAUACGUGUCGACUUGUCGAUGCGUGUUACGAGUGUGUGUUUUCUGGCUGACUUACCGGACGGUAUAAACAGUGUCUACGAUGACUUUAUGUAGUCGUCGUAGUGCUGGUCUGCGACGAAUCUUCGGGCCUCUUUCCGACCCGUCUUGAAACACGGA